This is a long non-coding RNA of Talpa occidentalis (Iberian mole), 631 nucleotides long. RefSeq lists it as uncharacterized. The record is from RefSeq and is a predicted model, not a curated record. The transcript is spliced from 3 exons. NCBI's taxonomy places the organism in Eukaryota, Metazoa, Chordata, Mammalia, Eulipotyphla, Talpidae.
CCUUGGAGACAGACUCAUGUAGAUACUGAUCAGACAUAUACUUGUGGGGCUCUAGGUGCCAUGCUCCUGUUCUUGACUAACCUGAGAAUCAGAGGAAGAAGCCUCUUGGUUCUUCACAGAAGAAGACCUGAGUCAGCUGUAGAAAGCAGUAACAAUGGCAGAGUGCCAAAGAAUGCCAGAGCAUGCCAGAAAGAGAUAUUACACGCAACACAGUCAAGUAGUGGACACUCAACUCUAAGAAGAGCCCAGAUUUCUAACACAUCAGGAUAUGAAAAGUUACUCCAGGAGAAAGUACCAGGCUAUUCCAAGAAAUGGCACAUCUCCCAGAACUGAGAUGCCCAGGUCCUCCCAGACUCGUUCUCUCCAUCCCAUCCAGCAGCCUCACCAGGAUUUGGAACAGGCGGCCUCUGCAUCUCAGGGAGGGGUGAGGAUGAAGGCUCCAAAGAGGAAGAAAUGCCACGGGAUGUGUGACCACUGUGUACCACCAACCUGAUGUGGCCCAGAGCAAAACAAGCUGCAUUUCAGUGGCACAGAAAAAACUCCCGACAGCCAGAGAAAAGCAUCCCAAUGUGGCUUUGGUACAAAACAAGACAACAGGUGAUUCCCACAGAUGUGAGGGGUACUUGCAUUC